UCCCCGUUAUCCUGGGCAGUCUCUCCAGAGUGCUCGGCAUGACCCGAUGGCAACUGAAGACAGGGGUUACGCUCGUUGCGGGACUUAACCCAACACCUCACGGCACGAGCUGACGACAGCCAUGCACCACCUGUGAUGGUGUCCCGAAGGAAAACCGUGUUUCCACGGCUGUCACCAACAUGUCAAGCCCAGGUAAGGUUCUUCGCGUUGCAUCGAAUUAAGCCACAUGCUCCGCCGCUUGCGCGGGCCCCCGUCAAUUCCUUUGAGUUUUAGCCUUGCGGCCGUACUCCCCAGGCGGGGCGCUUAAUGCGUUAGCUGCGGCACGGAACCCGUGGAAUGGAUCCCACACCUAGCGCCCAACGUUUGCGGUGUGGACUAC
This 379-nucleotide unclassified non-coding RNA is filed under the name uncultured bacterium. RNAcentral's name for it is "contains 16S-23S intergenic spacer region". The record is from RNAcentral.